AGAUAGCUGGGGGCAAGAUGGUGUAGGACCUUGUGGGUCUUGGUGAGGGCUUUGGAUUUUGUUCUUUAUGUAGUUGGAGGACAAUAUACUUUCUAUUGAUGCCCAAUGCUCUGCUACUUCUUCUAGUCCUUUCUCUGUUCUGGCUCUAUCUGCCUCCCACCCAGCCAGGGGGGGAGGAUCACAGUAAAAAUGCUACCUUAUCCUCCUGAUGAUCUCUCUUGCCAGUCUCCAUCCUUGAACAACUUUCACCGUUCAUUUCUUUUCUCUGGUGGCAGAACAAAAGAUAGACUAUGAGCCCAAUGCCAUGUUCCACCACAAAUUCAUGGUCUCAAGCCUCCUUUGAGCCUGAGUACAUAGCCAAUUGUUUUCACUUUUUAUUAAUUUCCUAUUGCAUUCAUCACAACAGGCUCAGCCCUCUUCCCCUCUCAGCCCUCCCCUCAGUCACCACAUAUUAGCUGAUGGCCUCGCCUCCUGCUUUAACAAAAACUGAAUUCACUGAAGUUCCCUUAACUGAGCGUGUAGCGACCUUUGUCUGCCCUACAAACCCACUCCACCACCUGUUAACCGCGCUUUGUGAGUGACCCAAGCAGAACCCUGGGAAUCAUCCCUCAUCAUCUCUGAUCCCUUCCAUGCUUGUAUUCAACUAGAGCCUUCACGCUAUAGAUUCCACCGCCUAAAUAUAUCUCUCUUCCCCCUCUCUUCCAUCCCCACUUCUGCCUCAGAUCAGUCCCGCACCAUUUCUUGUCUAGACUAUUACACUAUUCCCUGACCCUAGCCCACUGAACACACACACACACACACACACACACACACACACACAAUUGCCAAUGAAUAUAACUGCUUGUAUCUCCUAAGUAUCUUCAGAAUAAAAUUAAACUUCCUUGAUAAGGAAUAGCAAGUUCUUUAUAAUCUGGUCUCUCUCUACCUCUCCGGGGAAAAGUUUCUCAACUUCUUUCCUCUUCUACUACCUCAUCUGCAAAAUGGGGAUAUUAACAGAGUAACCUCAUGGUAUUGUUAAGGAGUCAAUGUUUGUCUCUCCCCAAAAUUCCUAUAUUAAAACCCUAACCUUCAAAAUGAUGAUUUGGAGAUGGGCCCUUUGGGAGGUGGUUAAGGUUAUAUUAGGUCAUGUGAAGGUGGGACUCUAAUGCUGGAAUUACUCACUUUAUAAAAAAGAUAUCUCCCCUCUGUCCUCCCCGCCCCCCCAAUCAUGGGAACACACUGAGAAAAGACCAAGUGAGGAGGACACAGUGAGAAGCUGGCCAUCUGCAAGCCAGAAAGAGAACUCUCCCAGGAGCUGAGUCAGCUAGCAUCUUGAUCUUGAACUUCUCAGCCUCCAGAACUGUGAGAAAUAAAAGUCUGUUGUUUAAACCACCCAGUCUAUGGUUGGUAUUGUGGCAGUACAAACAGACUAAAGAUUAAUGGGAAACAACACAUGUAACUUCCUCUGAAAAAAGCUUGACCAUGGUAAGUGCACAGGAGAGUUACUAUGAUUAGCAUCGAUUUUCAACCUGUAAUCACCCCCUUCCCACCAUUUAAAAGUCCCAAAGACUACUGGAGUUUCUGACUAGUCUGCUGUCUUACUCUAUCAGAUUAUGCAUUCUGUCUGGAAACUAUCUGUGUUUUUAGGACUCAGCACCCUAGGGCCAGGCUAAAUAUCUGUGUCAGACAGAAACAAUGUAUUGUGUUCAUGCCCUGGUGUGAUCCUUUUCCUUCAGUAUGGGGAGAACCUGUGACUUGCUUAAAGAGAGAACGUGGUUAUUUUGUACUCAAUUAUGUUAUACACAGUUGUAGUUCCUAUCUUGCUGCAGUCUCUCUCUUCCUUGCUAACUUCGAAGAAGCAAGCUGCAAAGAUGGAGAGUGCAUCAUGGCAAGAAAUUAGGGGACAGCCUCCAGCAUCACCUGGCAAGAGCUGGGACCAGUUUUGCAGGAGUCUACAAAGAACCGUUUCCAAAAACCAUGCGGACUGGAAAGAGGAUUUUCUCACUGUCAAACUUCAGGGACAGACAAACUAAUCAAUGGAACAGAAUAUAGAACUCUUCAGGCAGACUCCCUAAUAUAUGGAAAUCUAAUGACAGAGAUGAUACCACAGAGCCAUGAGGAAGGACUGGAUCUUACAAUUAACAGUGCUGGGAGAGUCAUUCGUAUGGAUAAAAAAAGACCUUGAGUUUUAUAUCAUACCAUUAUACAAAAAUCAAUUCCAGGAGAUGACAUUAAGAUCAUUUGAGGAAAGUGGGACAAGAAAAGACUUGACGUGAUCUAUCUAAUAAGUAAUUUCAAAAUAAAGAAGUAGAUAGCCUUUUUAAAGUUUGAAGCAACGCAAAGCAGGAGAAGUCAGCAUAGGAUGAUAAAAAUCCAAAUGAAAAGUUUAAAGUUGGAUACAAGAGAUUAUGUAUUGUCUACCCUAAGUACUGUGAAAGAGAAUGACCUGAAUAGCAAGGGAAAUCUCUUCCACAUGUGAGGUACGGCAGUAAACAGAAGACACGUUAAGUCUGUCUUGGUGGGACAAAUGUGCUGGUGGGAAAGACAAGCAUCAAGCAAAUAAUCAUAAGGUACCGUACUAUUUAAGUCCAUAGACAGAAUGGAUAAAAGAUGACUUACUUUUGCUGGGAAGCAGAGGUGCCAAAGUCAAGUCUGAAGACAGCUCUACGUCUCCACCACAGCAUCCUGCCCACCCGUCCAGUCACUCCUGGGGAGCCCAGAGCGCCAUUCUUGACACUUGCCAGGUAAGGGAGUUCCCUGCUAACGCUGUACCACAUACAACACUUCCGUUUCGGUCCUACUUGUAUAAGUAUUCGUUUCAAGUGUUUACUUGAAGGGACCCUUCAUCGCUUUGUGAAAUGUUAAAAGGAAGAUGGAAUUGAACAUCUACCUUUUGCCAAGACAGCAUGGCCUUCUACCUGUGGGAAGAAUGUAAUGAUGAGGUAUGAUAAUGAGUGGUGACCCGACGCCAGGACUGCCUGUCCUCACACACUACAAACGGCACAGAACUAAUGGCCAAAUAGCUGCACACAAAUCUUGUCACCAGGUACACAGUUCAUUAAGUGAGACUUCUGGGGUAAGAUCACAAUCAGGGGCUGCCUGGCAAACAAACCUCAGCUCCGCCAAAAUAAAAUUAGAAAGAGUGGCCCACAUCCAGUGGAAAAGAGCCUCUGCACACCAACUGGAGGAGAGUCUAUCCCAGUUCUGUGCUUACGCUUCUGAGCUUAACUGGCCGUUGAUAAUGUAUUUAAAGGCCAAAGGGCAUGCGACUCAGUCUCCUCUUACACAAAAGACAACUUGAAUUUAGAUAACUCUUCAUCCUUUACAAAGUAUGAUGGCAUACCUGGUAUGCUUAGAAUUACUAUACUAGAAAUGUAGUACAAGAGUUCUCGUCAUGGCGCAGUGGUUAACAAAUCUGACUAGGAACUAUGAGGUUGCGGGUUCGAUCCCUAGCCUCACUCAGUGGGUUGGGGAUCCGGCGUUGCCAUGAGCUGUGGUGUAGGUUGCAGAUGUGGCUCGGAUCCCGCGUUGCUGUGGCUCUGGUGUAGGCUGGCAGCUACAGCUCGAUUAGACCCCUAGCCUGGGAACCUCCAUAUACCACAGGUGUGGCCCUCAAAAGACAAAAA
RNAcentral lists this long non-coding RNA (3605 nucleotides) under Sus scrofa (pig). RNAcentral's name for it is "lncRNA (ENSSSCG00000047567.2)". The record is from RNAcentral. Lineage: Eukaryota; Metazoa; Chordata; Mammalia; Artiodactyla; Suidae.